This is a small nucleolar RNA of Myripristis murdjan (pinecone soldierfish), 84 nucleotides long. NCBI's taxonomy places the organism in Eukaryota, Metazoa, Chordata, Actinopteri, Holocentriformes, Holocentridae. The record is from Ensembl.
GCUGUCCGUGAUGAUUCCCUACAGUUAGUUAUUCGAGUUUAACGACCAUGAGAUUACUUUACAUGCACUACCAUCUGAGACACG